RNAcentral lists this small RNA (653 nucleotides) under Bos taurus (domestic cattle). RNAcentral describes it as "partial gene-trap locus 2 transcript variant". The stretch from base 414 to 518 matches the Rfam family "Maternally expressed 3 conserved region 2". The record is from RNAcentral. Lineage: Eukaryota; Metazoa; Chordata; Mammalia; Artiodactyla; Bovidae.
CACGCGAGAACCUCCCUACCCGGGUCUGUCUUCAAGGAUGACACCUUCCGUCUGCCUUCCUGCCACCAAGGACCACCUGUGGAUGACGAGCUGAUGCCCAGAGGACGCCAGGAGCAGGGGUUCCUGGAUCCCACCAGCAAACAAAGCAACCACUGGGCAGUGACCGCCCCCCCAGGCCGCCGAAGAUUGAAGAGGACCCGAACUGACCAACCAGCUGUCCCUCUUGGCUAAGUGUUGAAACCAGUGCCCUAGUGAGGGGGCACUGGCUAACCUCGGACUUUCGAUGUGCUUUUUGCCUUGAUGCUUUGCUUUUCUAUGUGCGUCUGCUUCUGUUAACCUUCCAUCAACCUGGAGGUUUCACCAUCCCAGGGAGGUGUCAGUCUUUCUCAGUCCACCCCGUCAUUAUCCCCAGGAUGGUCUGAAAGGAAGGGUCCCUUUGGGAACGUCUCAGGAGGGAGACCUGGGCCAAGGGCUCGGCCAGCAUCUCCCUGGCAAUUCCAAGGCCCAGGGUGGGCUUCUGGAAGGAGCAUGAUUCCCGAGGCCAUGCUACUGAACUGCCAGGGGUAUCCCCACCUCUUCCAGAUCUCCUCGUCCUUUCUGGGGAACUGGGAUCGAGAAAAGCAACCUCCCAGGGUGUUGUGAGUGUUGGUCCG